This 510-nucleotide ribosomal RNA is filed under the name uncultured bacterium. RNAcentral describes it as "partial 16S ribosomal RNA". It matches the Rfam family "Bacterial small subunit ribosomal RNA", at positions 28 to 507 of the family's 1533-position model. The record is from RNAcentral.
GACGAACGCUGGCGGCGUGCUUAACACAUGCAAGUCGAACGAAGAGCGAUGGAAGCUUGCUUCUCUCAAUCUUAGUGGCGAACGGGUGAGUAACGCGUAAUCAACCUGCCCUUCAGAGGGGGACAACAGUUGGAAACGACUGCUAAUACCGCAUACGAUCCAAUCUCGGCAUCGGGACUGGAUGAAAGGUGGCCUCUAUUUAUAAGCUAUCACUGAAGGAGGGGAUUGCGUCUGAUUAGCUAGUUGGAGGGGUAACGGCCCACCAAGGCGAUGAUCAGUAGCCGGUCUGAGAGGAUGAACGGCCACAUUGGGACUGAGACACGGCCCAGACUCCUACGGGAGGCAGCAGUGGGGAAUCUUCCGCAAUGGACGAAAGUCUGACGGAGCAACGCCGCGUGAGUGAUGACGGCCUUCGGGUUGUAAAGCUCUGUUAAUCGGGACGAAUGGUUCUUGUGCGAAUAGUGCGAGGAUUUGACGGUACCGGAAUAGAAAGCCACGGCUAACUACGUG